AGCGAACGCUGGCGGCAGGCUUAACACAUGCAAGUCGAGCGGGCCCUUCGGGGUCAGCGGCAGACGGGUGAGUAACACGUGGGAACGUACCCUUUGGUUCGGAAUAACGCUGGGAAACUAGCGCUAAUACCGGAUACGCCCCUUUGGGGAAAGGCUUGCUGCCGAAGGAUCGGCCCGCGUCUGAUUAGCUAGUUGGUGGGGUAAUGGCCUACCAAGGCGACGAUCAGUAGCUGGUCUGAGAGGAUGAUCAGCCACACUGGGACUGAGACACGGCCCAGACUCCUACGGGAGGCAGCAGUGGGGAAUAUUGGACAAUGGGCGCAAGCCUGAUCCAGCCAUGCCGCGUGAGUGAUGAAGGCCUUAGGGUUGUAAAGCUCUUUUGUCCGGGACGAUAAUGACGGUACCGGAAGAAUAAGCCCCGGCUAACUUCGUG
RNAcentral lists this ribosomal RNA (433 nucleotides) under uncultured bacterium. Its description in RNAcentral is "partial 16S ribosomal RNA". It matches the Rfam family "Bacterial small subunit ribosomal RNA", at positions 29 to 507 of the family's 1533-position model. The record is from RNAcentral.